GAUCAUGGCUCAGGAUGAACGCUAGCUACAGGCUUAACACAUGCAAGUUGAGGGGCAGCAUGGUCUUAGCUUGCUAAGGCCGAUGGCGACCGGCGCACGGGUGAGUAACGCGUAUCCAACCUGCCUUACACUCUUGGACAGCCUUCUGAAAGGGAGAUUAAUACAAGAUGUUAUCAUGAGUAAGCAUUUUCGCAUGAUUAAAGGUUUACCGGUGUAAGAUGGGAUGCG
This 228-nucleotide ribosomal RNA is filed under the name uncultured bacterium. RNAcentral's name for it is "partial 16S ribosomal RNA". It matches the Rfam family "Bacterial small subunit ribosomal RNA", at positions 15 to 235 of the family's 1533-position model. The record is from RNAcentral.